AGUAGACAUUGUGUGAGCCCGUGGACGGAGGCUGAGGAUGAUUAUGAGAUUCCUGGUACAAAGAUGCUCCCAGCUCAAUGCAGGUGACCCCAUGGCGAGAGCAGUGAGGGUCUGUGGAGGUUAGCUGAGCUACCUCAUCCAGAGGAGGAGCAGGUUGGGGGUGGUACCCGUUCCUGGUGAUGUUAGUUACCUAUUGCUGUGUAACAAAUUGCACAUUUAAAUGGAGACCCAUUAAAACGGAAUACCUUUUAAACCUGAUUGUGCGUGGUGGUGGUAGCAGUAAACUGAAGCAGGCACCGCCACACAGAAGCUGUCUGAGCUUGGCAAUCCCACAUUCUGGCUUCAAGCCAUGCGGUGCGACUGGUGCCAGGAGGGGGUGCAGGGAGAAGGAAAAGGCUGGACAGCUGGUAAAGGCCCGCCACCCCAGGUGGGAUGGGAAUGACAGGACAGAUUUUUAAGUAGGAGCGGGUGAGUGAGACAUGGGGAACUCCAUCCUGGAAGGGGUGCUUGGGGCUAGGAGGGAACAGGAAACAGGUGUCAUGGGUAAGGCCUGUGACCUGACCAGGACUUUUGAAUCUAAAAAUAUAUGUGUCAGGGGGUGUGAUUAUUAAAAUGUAGGAAUAUUACCCAAAAAUGAUGUUGACAUCAACGCUAAUUUUGGAUGCUGGAAAAUUAACCUAAUUAGCUCUUGCCUUUCCCUCCACACACUUUCCCUCGGCGGUUUCCUUGGUCCUGUGCCAUCACCUGCUUCUUUGGCAUGGCUGACUCCUAGAUCUGUAUUUCCAGCCUUGCCAUUUUCCUGCCACAUCUCCAACCUCCUGCUUGACAGCUCAGCCUGGUGGACUUCUCAGCACCUCAAACUUAGUAUGUACAAUACAGAACUUAUUUUCCUCCAAAACCUGCCAUCUUCCUUGCUGUCUCUUCUGGUCAAAGCGCCACCAGGCAUCCAGCCUGGGGCCCGAGGAGGGGAAGCCCAUGUGUCACAGAGAUAUGGCGUGCUCUGUGGGGAGGAACUUCAUGUGUGAGCAGAAGCAGGCAGCUGGCGACAAGCUGAAGAAAGGCGUUCAUCCCACACACAUGUGGGAAGCACCUCGGGUGCUCCAGGAGCUGCGUUUCUGGGCAUGGGGGCUCACUGGUGAAUAAGCCAGACGAGGUUCUCUGCCCCCCGGAGCUUUACUCAACAGGCCCCCAGGGUCGGCCCAGGAACAGCAAGCGGACCCUCUUACCAGAGCAUCAGGUAAAGCCUGUCCCUGUUUUGUCCUGCUGUGAGCUAACGAGUGUGCUGCUGUCAGCGUGGGGUCUGGAGCGUCAGACAGGGGGGUGACAUCACGGGGAACGGCAAGAAGCAACAAGCCCCAAAGGAGAUGACUAAGCAAGUAUGGCGGGCUGAGUAACGGCCCCCGAAAGGUGUCCACGUCUUCAUCCCCAGAACUUGUGAAUAUGUUACCUUACAUGGCAAAGGAACUUUCUAGAUGUAAUUAAGGAUCUUAAAAUGGUGAGAUUACACUAGAUUAUCCGGACGGGCCCAAUGUCAUCACAAGGACCCUGUGAAAGGGAGGCAAGUGUAAAGACAGGAGGAGGGGAAGGAUGAUGGAAGCAGAGGUUGGAGUGAUGCAGUUUGAGAUGGAAGAAGGGGCCAUGAGCCAAGGAACACAGGCAGCUUCUGGAAACUGGAAAACUCAAGGGAACAGAUUCUGCCCUGGAGCCUUCCCAAGGAAGGCAGGCCUGCGGACACCUUGAUUUUACCCCAUAAGGUUCGUUUUGGACUUCUGAUCUCCAGAGCUAUGAGACGAUAAAUUGGUGUCGUUUGACCCACUGUGCUUGUGUGACAACAGCAAUGGGAAACGAACCUAGCAGGCAGGCGGCUGGCUUGCCCCAGCUCCGGAGGUGUUGCAGGAGGACUCUUGACGACACAGCAAACACAGGAGCACCCACGGAGCAGAUUCCCUCGCCCUGAGUCCCGGGGAGAUGUGACGGGCCACAGUGACUCGUGCUGCAGUUAAGGAACCCAGGCUGGCGCUCAGCAGCUUUUGCAUCAAGCAAUAGCAGCCCCACCCUCAUGCGGGAGGGAGUGGAUGGACAGUAGUCCUGCUGCAUCACUGGACCUGCUUGGCUGUCUACGGGACCAGCUACAGCUGCAGCAGCAGCUCAGGCUCCGCUGGGCACGGACGUGCACAGACGCAGGGCCGGCUGGAUGGCCGCGGAGCUCACCUAGCCAACCCUCGGGCCCCCAGCCAGCUGCAGCGUCAGUGGGCGGCGGGGCCCAGGAGACGCACGUGUUCGGGCCAAGCCAGUGCCGUUUUGUCCUCCGGGCAGCUCCCUGCAGCUGCCGGGCUCCAUGAGUUCUUCCCGGAGGUCAAGAGCUGGGACUGCACAAGGGCUGGGAGAGUUCCCACAUGGUCUGCACAAAUGCCGCAGCGUCCAGGCUGGCCUCAAGGGCGCCUCUGUGCAGGCAGCUGGCUGGUUGACUCGAGGGCCAUGAGAGACCAGAGGCUGGGGGAACGACCAGCAGCCUCCAAGGAGGGCCCGAGGCUCUGCCUCCUCCUGCCGGGGCAGGUGUGUGGAGUGAGACAGUGGGAAGAACUGCCUCUCAGAUACUCCCCUGACUGCAGGGUUUGCGUUUCCGCCUCAGAGCAAGCUCCUGGGGCCUGGGCACGAGGAACUGAUGCCGACCCCGGGUCUGGGAGUUCAGAGGCCGGACAGUCAAGGAGUUAAGAGUGUGCAUGUAAGUGUGCGUGCGUGCACACAUACACACACACGUUUUUUUCCCUCUUAUCAU
Molecule: long non-coding RNA, 2779 nt
Filed under: Equus caballus (horse)
Lineage: Eukaryota; Metazoa; Chordata; Mammalia; Perissodactyla; Equidae
Description: lncRNA (ENSECAG00000048164.1)
Source: RNAcentral